GCGGGUGUGCCCGCGCUGGAGAUCACACCCUUAUUUUAAAAGCUGACAUUGGAAGCUAUUAUCUUGCUAUAGUGAAGUAAAUCCUUGCUGAACUUGUAUCCUAUGAGACACUUAUUUUUUUGAUCACUAAAGUGGUACACACCUGUAGUGCCAGCUACUUAGAAGGCAGAAGGUUAAGAUGGGAAGAUAGCAACUCUAAGAGUUUAUGGAAAACACAGUGAGAACCUGACUCCAAGAAAAGG
Perognathus longimembris pacificus (Pacific pocket mouse) is the source of this 242-nucleotide long non-coding RNA. RefSeq lists it as uncharacterized. The record is from RefSeq and is a predicted model, not a curated record. Lineage: Eukaryota; Metazoa; Chordata; Mammalia; Rodentia; Heteromyidae. The transcript has 3 exons.